Molecule: ribosomal RNA, 385 nt
Filed under: uncultured bacterium
Lineage: Bacteria
Description: bacterial SSU rRNA
Rfam family: Bacterial small subunit ribosomal RNA
Source: RNAcentral
GACGAACGCCGGCGGCGUGCUUAACACAUGCAAGUCGAGCGGUAAGGCCCUUUUGGGGGUACACGAGCGGCGAACGGGUGAGUAACACGUGGGUGACCUGCCCUCAGCUCUGGGAUAAGCCUGGGAAACUGGGUCUAAUACUGGAUAUGACCUUUCCUCGCAUGGGGUUGGGUGGAAAGUUUUUCGGCUGGGGAUGGGCCCGCGGCCUAUCAGCUUGUUGGUGGGGUGAUGGCCUACCAAGGCGACGACGGGUAGCCGGCCUGAGAGGGCGACCGGCCACACUGGGACUGAGACACGGCCCAGACUCCUACGGGAGGCAGCAGUGGGGAAUAUUGCGCAAUGGGCGGAAGCCUGACGCAGCGACGCCGCGUGGGGGAUGACGGCC